GGGCGUUAAGUUGCAGGGUAUAGACCCGAAACCCGGUGAUCUAGCCAUGGGCAGGUUGAAGGUUGGGUAACACUAACUGGAGGACCGAACCGACUAAUGUUGAAAAAUUAGCGGAUGACCUGUGGCUGGGGGUGAAAGGCCAAUCAAACCGGGAGAUAGCUGGUUCUCCCCGAAAGCUAUUUAGGUAGCGCCUCGUGAAUUCAUCUCCGGGGGUAGAGCACUGUUUCGGCUAGGGGGCCAUCCCGGCUUACCAACCCGAUGCAAACUGCGAAUACCGGAGAAUGUUAUCACGGGAGACACACGGCGGGUGCUAACGUCCGUCGUGAAGAGGGAAACAACCCAGACCGCCAGCUAAGGUCCCAAAGUCAUGGUUAAGUGGGAAACGAUGUGGGAAGGCCCAGACAGCCAGGAUGUUGGCUUAGAAGCAGCCAUCAUUUAAAGAAAGCGUAAUAGCUCACUGGUCGAGUCGGCCUGCGCGGAAGAUGUAACGGGGCUAAACCAUGCACCGAAGCUGCGGCAGCGACGCUGAUGCGUUGUU
This 538-nucleotide ribosomal RNA is filed under the name Salmonella enterica. RNAcentral's name for it is "partial 23S ribosomal RNA". It matches the Rfam family "Bacterial large subunit ribosomal RNA", at positions 690 to 1225 of the family's 2925-position model. Lineage: Bacteria; Pseudomonadati; Pseudomonadota; Gammaproteobacteria; Enterobacterales; Enterobacteriaceae. The record is from RNAcentral.